This 637-nucleotide ribosomal RNA is filed under the name uncultured Ceratobasidium. RNAcentral describes it as "eukaryotic LSU rRNA". The stretch from base 193 to 346 matches the Rfam family "5.8S ribosomal RNA". Lineage: Eukaryota; Fungi; Basidiomycota; Agaricomycetes; Cantharellales; Ceratobasidiaceae. The record is from RNAcentral.
AGGAUCAUUAUUGAAUGAAUGUAGAGUUGGUUGUCGCUGGCCCUUUCGGGGGUAUGUGCACGCCUUCUCUUUCAUCCACACACACCUGUGCACUUGUGAGACGGAGGGCUUUAAUUAGUCUUCCGUCUAUUCAACCACACAAACUCAUUGUAUUUAAACUGAAUGUAAUUGAUGUAACGCAUCAUUAGAACUAAGUUUCAACAACGGAUCUCUUGGCUCUCGCAUCGAUGAAGAACGCAGCGAAAUGCGAUAAGUAAUGUGAAUUGCAGAAUUCAGUGAAUCAUCGAAUCUUUGAACGUACCUUGCGCUCCUUGGUAUUCCUUGGAGCAUGCCUGUUUGAGUAUCAUGAAAUUCUCAAAGUAAAUCUUUUGUUAAUUCAACUGGUUUUGCUUUGGACUUGGAGGUCUUUGCAGAUUUCACGUCUGCUCCUCUUAAAUGCAUUAGCUGGAUCUCAGUAUAUGCUUGGUUCCACUCGGCGUGAUAAGUAUCACUCGCUGAGGACACUGUAAAAGGUGGCCAGGAAAUACAGAUGAACCGCUUCUAAUAGUCUAUUAAGUUAGACAAUUUAAUUUUAAGAUCUGAUCUCAAAUCAGGUAGGACUACCCGCUGAACUUAAGCAUAUCAAUAAGCGGAGGAA